RNAcentral lists this long non-coding RNA (10084 nucleotides) under Gossypium barbadense (sea-island cotton). RNAcentral's name for it is "long non-coding RNA (GBAR_LNC013095)". Lineage: Eukaryota; Viridiplantae; Streptophyta; Magnoliopsida; Malvales; Malvaceae. The record is from RNAcentral.
ACGGAUUUUCAACUAGUGCAGUUCUGGUUAAGCUUUUUGAUCAUGGCCAUGCUUGUGUUCUACCACUUCACUGCUUCUGGCUGCUCUGGGAUUCUGAGUUGGUGUUUCAAUGCAGCCUUCAUCGUCUCUCUUCUCUACUUGUUCUCAGACUUUCAUGCCAAGAGUUACUCCACCAAUGCCAAGGUCUUCAAGGGUAACUAAUAAUUAAUUAAACUACCUUUUCUUUUCUUUUCUUUUCGUUUUCAUUUUUAUAUGUAGUUAUUGUUUCAGAGUGAUUCAUCAGUUGAAGAAAAAAAUGAACAUAAUUGUCAUAAAUUCCUUUUACGAUUUCAAUUCUUCGGUGUGCAUAUGUAUCUUAAUAUCAAUUAAUUGAAGAGAUUCAUUGUUAAUUUAUAUUUUAUGUUUUUACUAUAAAUGCAUGAUUAAACAGUUCCUGCUGUUGCAGAAGCGACGAUAAUAUUAAUAACAAUAUUAUCAGAAAUAUUUAGAUAAUUAUUAUGCCGACAAUUAUACUAAGAAAAUUCCCAGUUAAAUUGGAGGGGUCACAAAUGGUCCCGCUUAAAACCCAACAACUAGACAGAACUCACUUAGAUAUUUAUAGCAAUAAUAACUAAAUAAAUAUAACCAACAUAAAGCUAUUAAAUAUAAGCAAACAACUAAGAAAUAAAAUACCAGAGUUUUAACGAGGUUCGGCCAAUUUAACUUACGUCCUCGGACACUACCAAAUUAAUAUUUCCUCUAGAAAUAUUACAAUAGAGAAGAUUAACACCAAGUUACAAUUAGCUACUUGGAUUUUUGGAAUGAUAAAACCUAAGGGGGAAGGGUUCUAUAUAUAACAAACCAAACCCCCUCCCUUUCUAUCUUUUCCUAAUGUGGGAUAUUGCCAAUAUUCAACAAAUCUCCACCUUGGUGAUAUUCCACAUCUUCGAACAUCUUCUCAUAACACAAACUUCAAUAGUGUCUUCAAAUUUGCAACCAAUCGCCUUCUUCCCUUUUGGUAGUUGUGCCAGUUUCCACGUCUUGUUUUUCUCUAGAGAUUGCAUUUCCUCUUCCAUUGCACCUAACCAUCUAUUAUUCUCUAAAUUUUGAAUGGCUUCGGUGUAAGUGGAUGGAAUAUUAUCAACAACUGGAAGUGCAUAAGCUACCAUGUCAGUGAAACGAGCAGGUUUCUGAAUUUCUCGUCUCUGCCUUCUGACUGCAAUUGGCUCUGAUUGCUGUUGAGGUUCUUGGGUAGAAACCUCUUCCUCAUCUGACUCUGCAUCUGCCAAUGAAGAAUCACUAGUGGUACCUUCUGCUGGAAUUACCACUCUCUGCUCAAACUCCACCUGCUGCGGAGUACACUUCACCUGCUGCGAAGUACUACUCGAAGUACUACUCACUCCUUCUGGAUUUACCUUAUUCAACAUGGCAGAUUCAUCAAAGGUAACAUCCCUACUGAUUAUCGUCUUCUUUGCCUCUAGACACCACAAACGAUACCCCUUAACACCAGCAUUGAAGCCCAUGAAUAGAGCCUUCUUUGCUCUUGGAUCUAACUUUGAUUCUUUCACAUGAUAAUAUGCAAUAGAACCAAAAAUACGCAAGGUGUCAUAAUCAGUAGCAGGUUUUCCAUACCAUUUCUCCAAAGGAGUCUUGCCAUUUAUAGCAGAUGAUGGCAAAUGAUUGAUGAGAUGUUGAGCGUACGUCACAGCCUCAGCCCAAAACUUUCUAUCUAAUCCAGCAUUAGAUAACAUACAUCGAACUUUCUCCACAAGCGUUCGAUUCAUACGCUCUGCCACCCCAUUCUGUUGCGGUGUUCCACCUACGGUGAAGUGCCUUACUAUGCCACAAUCUUGGCAUAUCUUCAGGAAUGGAUCGCUUUUAUAUUCUCCACCAUUGUCUGAUCGGAGAACCUUAAUCUUCCUUCCUGUCUGAUUUUCAAUUUUAGUUUUCCACUUAAGGAAAACUUCAAGCACCUCAUCUUUGUUCUUCAUAGGAAACACCCAAACUCGUCUGGAAAAAUCAUCAAUAAAGGUGACAAAAUAACGUCUUCCUCCAAGUGAUGGAGUCUUGGACGGUCCCCAUACAUCAAAAUGCACAUAAUCCAGAAUACCUUUAGUAUUGUGAAUCCCAGUGCCAAAUUUCACCCUUCGUUGUUUUCCCAGAACACAAUGCUCGCAAAAUUCAAGUUUGCAAGUCUUUGUACCUUUCAAUAAUCCUUGCUUGGCUAGAGUUUGCAAGGAUUUUUCACCAGCAUGGCCCAAACGCAUAUGCCACAGCUGUGUUGCCUCAGCGUCCUUCUUGGUACUCGAAAUUGCUGCUGCUGUUGCCCCGACCACUGUACUACCUUGGUAGUAAUACAGAUUGUUCUUUCUUAUGCCUUUCAACAUCACCAAUGCUCCUGAAGUUGCUUUAAGAACUCCAUCUCGUAUUGUCACAACUAGGCCUUUAGAUUCUAACGACCCCAAAGAGAUGAGAUUCUUCUUCAACUUUGGGACAUAUCGUACAUCCCGCAAAAUUCUAGUAGAUCCAUCAUGACUCCUCAGUUUAAUUGAACCUAUCCCGGCUAUUUUACAUGUGUUAUCAUUACCCAUGUAAACAACCCCUCCAUCUAGUUUUUGAAAUUCAAAGAACCAUUCCCAAAUGGGACACAUAUGAUAGGAACAACCAGAAUCCAUGAUCCACUCAUCUGCAUGUGAUGUUGAAGAUGUCAUACUAAGAGAAAAGUCUGACUCUGCUUCACUAUUGCAUUCUGCAACAUUUGCAUCUUGCGGAGUCUUCCAUUUUUUCUUCAAUUUUGGACAAUCUUUCUUCCAAUGUCCUUUUUCUUUGCAAAAGGAACAUUCAUCUUUGGCAACAGCUCGACCUUUGGACUUUCUUCUCUUCCUCUUAGACUGACUUUCCUGACGAUCUCUUGUUAACAAUGCUUCCACUGCUGCUUCACUUGAACCUUUCAACUUAUCCUUUCGGCGUAGUUCAUAGCUAUACAAUGCAGCAGUUACUUCAUUGAAAGUUACUUCCGACUUUCUAUGAAGUAAAGUAGUUUCAAGGUACUCAAACUCCUUUGGAAGCGAUCCCAACAACAUAAACGCCAAGUCUUCGUCUUCAAAAGUCACAUCCAAAUUCAACAAAUCAACCACCAGCUGAUUAAAAUUGGUAAUGUGCUCAUUCAUCGUGGUACCAGGAACAUAACUGAAACGAAACAGUCUUUUCUUCAUAUGCAACUUAUUUUGACUGUUCUUCUUCAGGAAUUUCUCCUCCAAUGCUUUCUACAAUUUACUUGCAGAAGUCUCUUUACUGAAUAUAUACUUCUGCUCUCUGGAAAGACAUGAUCGAAUUGUACCACAUGCCAAUCGGUUGAUGGUCUUCCAUUCUUUAUCAUCAACCCCUUCUGGUUUUUCUUCCUCAAUGGCAAUAUCUAGACCUUGUUGAAAGAAGGCAUCUAGAAGCUCACUUUGCCACAUGCCGAAAUGACCUAUUCCAUCAAAAAUUUCCACUGCAAAUCUCGUAUUUGCAAUUCCAACCCUCGACAAAAUGUACGAAGUGGAAGUUGUUGAUAUGGAUGGUUUUUCUUCUGUCAUUUUUGCCAUAGCUUCUAUUUAAUAGCCACCAAAUGCGGAAUACCCACAAGCUUUAGGAAAUGUUUCUGAUGUGUAAGAUCAGACUAAGCUGCAAACACAGAGCAUACUACAAAACCUUGGCUCGGAUACCAAUUGUUGCAGAAGCGACGAUAAUAUUAAUAACAAUAUUAUCAAAAAUAUUUAGAUAAUUAUUAUGCCGACAAUUAUACUAAGAAAAUUCCCAGUUAAAUUGGAGGGGUCACAAAUGGUCCCGCUUAAAACCCAACAACUAGACAGAACUCACUUAGAUAUUUAUAGCAAUAAUAACUAAAUAAAUAUAACCAACAUAAAGCUAUUAAAUAUAAGCAAACAACUAAGAAAUAAAAUACCAGAGUUUUAACGAGGUUCGGCCAAUUUAGCUUACGUCCUCGGACACUACCAAAUUAAUAUUUCAUCUAGAAAUAUUACAAUAGAGAAGAUCAACACCAAGUUACAAUUAGCUACUUGGAUUUUUGGGAUGAUAAAACCUAAGGGGGAAGGGUUCUAUAUAUAACAAACCAAACCCCCUCCCUUUCUAUCUUUUCCUAAUGUAGGAUAUUGCCAAUAUUCAACACCUGCUGCAUGCAAUUGUAUUAUAUUAUCGUUUCUAAUGACGAAGAAAAUGGAACAACCGUGAAGUGAAAAAAAAAAAGUUGAUGAGAAAAAUAAAUCAAGGCGGACAUAGAAAUUGUUGUCGCAGUCAACAUUAAAUAUGGUAAGCAGGUGAGUUAAUAAGUUUGACAGGUCCUCACCAAAAAUUAACUUCUCCCUUUUAUCGUCAUAUGUAUUAUUUAAGAUAUUGCAUGCUUUUGUCGUUUUCAUUACACCAAUAUUUUAUGUCUAGUAAGUUUUGGAACAACACCUCAUGAUUCAUCCAUUAAAUUCCAAUUUAGCGUUAUAUAAGUUUUUUUUUCUUAGAGAAUAUUAAGAAAAUCCAGUGUCAUAUAUACACAACAUGAAAUAAAUUUGGUAAUAAAAAAAAUUUGAGAGUAGGGCACCAAAUUAUAGUCCAGUAUUUCAAAUUAAUUUGGUUAUAAGGUCAACAAUCAAUUAUGCAAAUGAUGUAAACCUAAGACACUACUUUAUCACAUGUAUUGUUUCUACUGAUUAGUUUUAAUCAAUUGAAGUUAAUUGGAAAUAAAAUAAAGUAAUUGAUUAUGAAAUUGAUAGAGAUAACAGGUCAACCAAAUGAAUUAUUUUUCCUAUAUUAAAUUAUAAAACAUUCAAAAUGUAGUUAUGACACACGAAUAAGAUUUAUAUAAAAUAUAUAUAUUUAUUAAAAUUUUAUAUGAAAAUCAAAUCAAAUGAAAUUGAAGUUUUUAAAAUUAUAAUGUUUAUGGUGAAUUCAAGUAACAUCUAAAACAAUCAUUAAAAAAAUUGGAGAUUAAUAAGUUAGAAUUGUUUGGAGAGAUCUUACUCAAAAUAAAAAUUACUUUGACGAAAAUCAUAUUAUUAUAUUUUUUAAUAUGAAAGCUUCAAUCUUAUCAGAUUUAUAAUUUUACUUUAUAUUAUUUUUAAUUCAUAUUGUAAUUAUAAUUUAUAAUGAUAAUUAUUUAUUAUUUAUUAUUAUUUUAAAAUUUCAUAACCUUCGUUACUUACGGUUUGUUUAAGGUUACACACAAAAUUAAUGAAAAAUUAUAACCUCUGCUGCUUGAGGUUUGCUUAAGGUUGUUCACAAAAUUAAUGAAAAAAUUAUAACCUUCAUCACUUAUGACUUGUGUUAUAAAAGGUAAAAAAAUCAAGACAAAUCAAUUCAUCGUGUUUUUCUUCAUCAAAUCUGAUAGACGACUUCAAUUAAACAUUAGAUAAAUCUCUAUUGAUUUUAGUUUGCAUAAUACGAAAAACUUCAAUUUUUAAAUUUGAUCCAAUUUGAAUUUAAAUUUUAUUUAAUAAAAUAUUUAUAUGAUUUUAAAUUAGAAAAUAUAUUUAAAAAGUAAAAAAAUACAGAUUUAAUAUUAAAAUUAAAAAUUAAUGUUUUAACUUAAUUAAAUUUAAAUAUUAAUAUUUAAUUUGGUAAUUUUAAUAUAUUAAAAUCCCAAAUAAUUCUAUCUAUUAAUGUACAAUUACAAAUUAAAUCAACUUUAUGCUCAAAAUAAUUUUUUUAAUAUAUAUAUGAAUUAUAAAAAUAGAAUUGUUCUAAGUUUUAUUCCAAAAUCAAAGUGUUAAAAUGGGAUGCAUUUCUUAUAUUAAUAUUUUAUUUUCAUAUUAAAAUAAUAAAAUGUAAAUUAAAAUGAGUUGAAAUUUAAUAAAUAUUAAAUUACACUUUCUAAUUAACUCCAAUUGCAUAUUGAUUGUCAUUAGGAUUAUCUAAUCACAUUAUUUUUAUAAUACAAAUAUGAGAAAAUAUUUAGUACAUCAGUGAAAUUUUUAACUUUCACAAGUAAAGUUAGAGAGUUUAACAAGUUAUAGGGAUAGAGUAAAAUAUUAAAAAAAAAGAGAGUCAUAUAACAAAAUUUUAAAGUUGUUUGUGAAAUAAAUAAAAAAAUACACUACCACUAUAACAAAUACUAACCUUGCAAAUAUAUUUACAAUAUAAAAUGUUUUAAAACAUUAAGAGUAAAUUAAAAUAAUAAUAAUAAUGUGCAACGCGUGUGGGGCUAAAAACUAAUAUAUAUAAAAUACAAAGUAAAAAAAUGGACUAAACUAGGUUUAAGUUUUGAGUAUUAGAGUUCAAGCUUGAUUCAUAUUUUAAAUGAGUCUAAUAUUUUUAUCUAAAACUAUUUUUAAACUUCAUAAUUUUAUUCAAAUCUAUUUAUUAUAUAAAAUCAAAUUCUUUUGGGAGUCAUUAGGAAUUAAUAAGGAUAAUUUUGGUAGUAAAAGUUAAAGACAAUUAUAUAUUUUGGAAAAAAUAAUUAUUUUAAAAUUUAAUAAAACUAACUCCCUUUUAGUAAUUAGGAAUUAAUAAGCACAAUUUAGACAUUAAAAGUUUAGAUAAUUGAAAUUUUUUAAUUACUUAUUUUAAAAUUUUUUAUUCCAUUUUAAUUAUUUGUAUUUAAAUUGUUCUUUUAAGUCCAAAUGAAAUUAUUUAUGCUUAAUUCAUUAAUCUUUUACCAAAAUUUUUUUUUAAAAAUUUUUAAUAAUUUAAUAAUUUAAUUUUAAUAUAAAAAAUCUAUAUUCCAAGAAUUUACAUACCAAAAUGUAUAUAAAAAAUUUAGAUAGUAAGUUGAUGUUUUUAAAGGAAAAGGUGAGUAAAAAAUAAAAUAUUUUUAAGAUUAUUCAAAAGAUAAUAUCUGCAGUAGUAUCAGUAUCAGUAUCAGUAUCUAUAUGUAUUAAUAUCAUAUUUACUUUUGUUUUCUUCUAAAUUUAAAUUGGUUAGUUUCUUUAGUUUUACUUAAUAUAUUAUUAUUAAAAAAUUUAAUAAAUUUUCAAUUGAACUUUAAUUUCAGCUACACAUUUUGUAUAUGGUAAUAUUUGUUAUUAAGAAUAUUUGAUAUAUUAAUUAGCUUUUCAGUUACAAGUUUUUUUUGUAUAAAUAUUGUUCCAUCUUAUUAUUUUAUCCUAAUUUUCGUUUGAUCGUAAUUUUAUCUUAAUUUUUAAUUUUUUUUUCUCUACUAAGAGGUUAGUUUUUUAAAUGGAUACACGUGUUUACAUGCUAUUUUUAAAUAAAUUAUUAGUUUUUUUUAUCUAUUUCUUUGUUUUUCAAUGUCAAGCUCGAGUCUAAAACUUUUUUAUUUUUAAAUUGAGAGUAUAAUUUUUUUUCUAGUCUUCGUCGUAUUCUAACAUAAAAAAUUAAAAAUCCAUUAAUAACACUAUUUACUAAUAUUAUACAAAUAUAUAUCCAAAAUAGAUUACAAGAUUUCCUUUUAUGUCCAUUUUUAAUAUUUUUUUAUAAUAAUUCCAUGCAAGGGAAAAAUCAGGAUUUUAUUGUUUGAAGUUUAGAUAAAGCAUUUCUCUUUUCAAUUUUCUUACUCUUUUUUGUUGCACGUGAAAAAGUUAUUGGUGCUACCGCCCAGCUUUGGAUAUCAUUCUAUAUUUAAAUUGGGUAUAUUUCAUUUAUAUGAUUUGACAUGUUGAUGGCAUAUUUUAUAAAAUCAUAACAAUUUUCCAUAUAAGGUAAAAUUGUAUUUUAGAUAUCUAUUAUUGAUAGUAGUAAUUAAUUUUUUUGCUGGUAUUUUUUAAAGAGAUAAACGAUUAAUCAUGAAAUAUGCUCUAUUCUUAAUAAAGAGGCAAUGGAAGAAGAUUGUAUUUGAGUUGUUCGAUUAAAAAUUUUCAAAAUUGACUUGGAAAGAAGAAGUCAAAUAGAUUUAAAAAUAAUAAUAAAGAAAAAAAAUACAGAAACAACUAAAAGAAAAAAAUUAAGAACAAAGAAUAAAGAUUUAAAACAAUAAAUAAAUAAAACGAAAAUUAAAAAGUGGUUUAAAAAAUCGAUUGAUAUAAUAGCUAGAUGAAUAAGUGUCCAAUUGAACCAUUUGAGACAAAAAUCACAACAAAUUCAAUUAAUAACUCUAAUGGAACUCUAAUUAAUCUAAAUAAAAAAAAAUUAUAUGAUAAAGCAAGUUCUGAUGAAAAAUUCCUAUUACAUAGUGAGAUGACAAGUAAUGGAUUUUGAUAACAAUUUUUAUUAAAGUGGGAAGUGAUAAUGUAGUGAAUUAAUUUGGUAAAAGUUUUGUUCUUGUCAAGCCAUGAAAAGAUAAAAGUAAUAAAUUAUGGUAAUAAUGAAUCAUAUAAAUAUGGAAUUAUCUGUUAAUUAUUAAAAUAUGCUUUAUUAAGAUAUGUUCAAGAAUUAUAAUAGUAGUAAUUUUUUAUAUAUAGAGUUUAAGGUAAAAAAAAAGAGAUUAUUCCUGGGUACUUACUAAGCUUUUACAAGUGUAACGUGUGUUUUAAACACGUAGAUGGAAGAUCGAAUUAAAGCUCUAGAUUCAGGUUGAGAUUUCAACUCAUCUCAUCUCAUAACCAAGGUUUGAAGAGAGUACAAAUUUGAUAUUUUGGUUAUAGAAUAUGACAUGUACACAAGUUAUUGCCAGUGUUUUGAUAUUUUGAGUUUUAUAAUGAUUAGUUGACGUGAAAUAGUCGAAGUUGCUUCGGCAAUUAAUGUAACAUCUCAGUACUUUGACCCGAUGUUUGGGUCGGAUAUGAGGGUGUUACAUUGUUGGUAACUAUUUUGUAACUUUUCAUAAUUAGGUGACAAAAAAUUUCACUAAUAGUUAGAUAUUAAUUUUAUAAUUUUUCAUACUUGGGUGAACAAAAAGAAUUUACUAAUAGUUGAAGAAUUUACUAAUAGUUCAGUGAGUAAUAGUUUGAUUUACCCAAAAAUCUAUGUACUUACAAGUUACAAGAGGGGUAGGCUAAUUACCCCCUAUCCAUAAAUGAAUUCAUUACUGGCGGACCAUUAUCCAUAAAUGAAUAAACAUAAACAGGAAUGCAGUGGAAGUGGAUGGAUCAAUGAUAUCCAGUACCGGUAGGCAGUUGAGGUAGAGAAAAUAUUGGGUCAUACUUUUCAGUGCUUUUAAAGGCAAUCCCCCUCCCCUCCUCCUUUUUGCUGCAGCUUUAUUAACUGACGUAGUGCUAGAGUAGUAAAGGCAGCAGCAAGAUGGAAGUCCCCUUUUUCCCAACCCUUUUCUCCUGUAUCAAAGGCUUGGUGGUGCAACAAGCCUUGUUCUCAACCUUGGAGGAUUGGCUAGUGAAGCAUCCCAAAAUCCUCCAGUUUUCAUGGGAAAAUGGCCAAACACCAGCCUCCUCUCACCGCUUCCUCACCCUCACUGUCUUGUCUUACAUCUCUUUCACCUUCGUUCUCUCCCAACUAUCUCGCCCUUCACUUUCACGUCCACUCCUCAAAUCAAUCGCAGCCGUCCACAACAUCUUCCUCCUUACCCUUUCUUUCAUCAUGGCCCUGGGUUGCCUCGUUUCCAUCUUCUCCCAGGUGCCUAACUUCAACACCCUCGUUUGCUUCCCUAGGGGUACAUCCCCAUCGGGCCCUCUCUUUUUCUGGGCAUACAUCUUCUACCUCUCCAAGAUUGUUGAAUUCAUGGACACCCUUUUGAUCAUCCUCAGCGGAUCCAUGAAGAGGCUAUCCUUCCUUCACGUCUACCAUCACUCCAUGGUGGUCAUCAUGUGUUAUAUUUGCUUAGACAGUGCUCAGUCCUCCGUACCCAUGGUGCUGAUCACCAACUGCGUGGUGCAUGUCGUAAUGUACUCCUAUUACCUGUUGUGCACCCUGGGGAUGCACCCCAAGUGGAAGAAAAUGGUGACGGAUUUUCAACUGGUGCAGUUCCGGUUAAGCUUUUUGAUCAUGGCCAUGCUUGUGUUCUACCACUUCACUGCUUCUGGCUGCUCUGGGAUUCUGAGUUGGUGUUUCAAUGGAGCCUUCAACGUCUCUCUUCUCUACUUGUUCUCAGACUUUCAUGCCAAGAGUUACUCCACCAAUGCCAAGGUCUUCAAGGGUAACUAAUAAUUAAUUAAACCAACUUUUUUUUGUUUUUCCAUUUCGUUUCCAUUGUUACAUGUAGUAAUUGUUUCAGAGUGAUUCCGUUCAAGCUCAUGAAUCUGGUAUAGAAUCUUAAUUGUGAAAG